This 72-nucleotide transfer RNA is filed under the name Urocynchramus pylzowi. RNAcentral's name for it is "tRNA-Glu". It matches the Rfam family "tRNA". From Rfam's summary of the family: Transfer RNA (tRNA) molecules are approximately 80 nucleotides in length. Their secondary structure includes four short double-helical elements and three loops (D, anti-codon, and T loops). The record is from RNAcentral. Lineage: Eukaryota; Metazoa; Chordata; Aves; Passeriformes; Fringillidae.
GUUCUCGUAGUUAAAGCUUUAUAACAGCGGCUUUUCAGGCCGUAGAUCCUGGAGAAAAGCCGGGCGAGAACU